GGGAUGCAAUGAUCAGGAAUGACACUUGGUAUGAGAGUGAGUUACCUAGAGGGAAGAAGGCAGUUUCAAGCAGAUGGAUCUUCACCAUCAAAUAUCUUGCAAAUGGGGAGAUAGAUAGGCACAAGACCAGGCUGGUUGCAAGAGGAUUUACACAGACUUAUGGAGAAGAUUACAUUGACACUUUUGCACCAGUGGCCAAGCUUCACACAAUUCGAAUUGUGUUAUCCAUUGCAACAAACUUGGAGUGGGAUUUGUGGCAGAUGGAUGUGAAGAAUGCUUUCCUGCAAGGUGAGCUAGAAGAUGAGGUAUAUAUGCUUCCUCCUCCUGGUCUUGAGAAUCUAGUGAAGCCAGGAAAUGUUUUGAGAUUGAAGAAAGCUAUAUAUGGGUUGAAGCAAUCUCCUAGAGCCUGGUACAGGAAGCUGAGUACAACACUCAAUGGGAGAGGGUUCAGUAAGUCUGAACUAGAUCACACACUCUUCACACUGGUCGGACCAUCAGGGAUCAUUGUGAUUCGUUUCCCAGUUUGAGAAUAGCACAGCUUCAUCGUCGUUCCAAUCAAACCAGGAUGAAUCACUUUGUGAGAAGCUUGAUUUGGAUACAUAAAGUGGUGGAGAAUGACCAGGAAGUUGAAUAAUGUUGAGUUGAGCUGAGCAUAUGAGUGUGAAGAGAAGAGGAGUUAAGGAGAUGAGGAGAUGAGGCUUAGGGGAGUUUAGGGAGAGCAUGGUACGGACGUCCGUACAAGGCCGUACAGUCCGUACCAUCCAAGCCUCGACCAAAACUUACCGUGCAUUGCCCAAGUGAAAUGGUAAACGCGGAAGAGUUACUCAAGAGGAGAAGGAUCAGAACGUUUAGAGGAUAAGGGAAGAUCAUGCUAGGCUGUGACAGGAUGUAAAGAGAGAAAGCAUGCGAGUCCUCUCAUCCGUCCGUUCCUAAAGCAACCUUUGACUCCACAUGAUCCAAUAGUGCCCAUUUCAAGUCUUGGAAACCCUUGUGUCUCUCAUAUAAAUAUGUAACCUCACUCAUUAAUAAGAUUAAGCAGUUCUGAGUCUCUUUAAUCUCUUAAGUCACAAUGAUUCUCUCUUAGACACAAAACUUCUCUUAAGUCUCAUAAUCUUUCCAAAUCUUUCUCUAAUCUCCACUUAAACUCUCAUUGAUAUUCUGGUUACUCUAAGGAUCUCUAAAAGUCAUAUGGUAUCAGAGCCAGGUUCAUUAGAGUCUGGGGUUGAUCUUUAGAGAGUUACAAGCUGAAGGCUUUGAAGCUACACGCGGGUAGCUUUGAAGGUGUUGAAGCUGUGAUACGUUCUAGUUGAAGCUGUGCUAUGUUCUGUGUGUUUGCGUGAUUCAAGACUCAAGUUUGGGGUGUGUACGUGAUUCAAGACUCAAGAUUUCAUCAGAUUCAAGCUGUUCAAGUCAAGCUGAGUAAAGAUGGAACAUGGGAUGAACAUGAGGAUGAAGGUAGCGGUUACUUUCAAAGAAAGCAACUACCUUGUGUGGUCUCGGAUGGUGAAGACUGCAGUGGGGAGUAAGGGUUUGUGGGGGCAUAUCACAACAGGAGAGGCUCCAAAACUCAUUACUCAGGGAGGAGAUCAAGAAGAGGUCUCCAAUGAAGUGGCUGUAGAGAAAUGGCAACAAGAAGACAUGCUGGUGAUGACGGUUCUUCACGCAUCCUUGGAUCCAGCUAUCUUGGACGCCUAUAGCUACUGUGAAUCAGCUAAAGAGCUGUGGGACACGCUGAAGAAGGUGUAUGGGAACAUUCCAACCUCAGCCGUGUAUUUGAAGUGAAGCAAGCCAUCAACCGUCUAGUGCAAGAGGAUAUGGAGUUCACCAAGCACUUGGGGAGGUUCAGGUCCUUGUGGUCCGAGCUGGAGAUGCUAAGGCCGAGCACAACUGAUCCUGAUCAGUUAAAUGAGAGGCACGAGCAAGAUAAGGUCUUUGGGCUUCUCCUCACACUGAACUCGGCCUACACGCAGCUCAUCCAGCACAUGUUGAGGGCAGACAAGCUUCCAGACCUUGAGGAUGUGUGUGCGCAAAUCCAAAGGGAGCAGGGGUCUAUGGGGCUGUUUGGAGGAAAGGGAGAGCUAUCUCUUGCAAAUCAAGCAGCUCAUGAGGACUCAACCGAGGCUCCACAAGCAAACAAGGCAUGUCACGGGAAGUAUGAGGACAGGAAGUUCAAUGGCAACUGUGAUCAUUGCAAGAAGCAUGGUCAUAAGAAGAGCCAAUGCUGGAUACUACACCCACACCUCAAGCCUGCCAAGUUCAUGAAGGACCAUGAGGGAAGGGCAAAUAUGACUGAAGGAUCAAGCGGAGCUGGCGCCAUCAAGACUACUGAAGUGGAUGGGCAUGGAGGCAAUGAUGGAAAUGGGAAUGAUGGCUUACACUGGUGCCUCAAGCUCACGCAGCAACGACGACUACAUCAAGAGAUCAGACCUUGAUGCUCUCUUCAAAAUGCUCAAGGAAAACGGUAACACCUAUGGUUAUUCCUUUGGAGCGUCUAUGAUUGCAUAUAAGGAUGAUCACUUGAUUAGAGAACUAGUAUAACGGGUAGAUGCUAGGAAUGAGUAUAGAAGUGCACACAUUGCUAGAACUGAUAGGAUGCAUCAAUCACUUAGUAAUCUAUGUCAUAAUGCUAAAAGAGUAUAUAAACCAUUGAUUGUUGAUUCUGGUGCAUCUCAUCAUAUGAUAAGUGAUGAAAACUUGAUUAAGGAUAUCGAACCUACUCAUGGGCAUGUGAUGAUAGCAAAUGGGGAUAAGAUACCUAUUAAGGGAAUAUGAAAGCUUAAGCUGUUUAACAAAGAAUCUAGAGCCUCUUACAUGCCUGAAUUCACAUCAAACCUAUUAUCUGUGAAGAAAUGUACUAAUGAUUUACAAUGCAAUGUUAUCUUUAGUCCUAAUGAUGUGAAGUUUCAGGAUAUUGAGAGCAGCAGAUUGAUUGGGAAAGGGGUGACUAAGGGAGAUCUCUAUAUGCUUGAAGAACUCACUUCUGUUCCUGAUUAUAGUUGCUCGUUUACUACUGCUUCUUUGUUGAAUAAAAAUGCUUUGUGGCAUGCUAGAGUAGGACACCCUCAUGUUAAAGCAUUGAACUUAAUGGUACCAGGUGGGAUCCUACAUCAGACAAGCUGUCCGUAUACUCCACAGCAAAAUGGAGGGGCUGAGAGGAAGAAUAGGCACCUUAUGAAAGUGGCAAGGUCGCUUAUGUUUCAGAGUAAUGUUCUAAAGAGAUUUUGGAGUGAUGCGGUUGCCACUGCUUGCUACUUGAUAAACAGAACUGCAACCAAGAUUCUGAAUGAGAAGGCUCCAUUUGAAGUUCUGAACAAGUACAAGCCAGCUCUUGAUUACUUGAAGGUCUUUGGAUGUCUAUGCUUUGUGCUCAAACCAGGACAGAUGCGCAACAAGCUAGAAGCAAGGAGUACUAAGGCUGUGUUCAUAGGAUACUCAGCUACACAGAAAGGAUACAAAUGCUAUGAUCCUAUAGCAAGGAGAGUACUUGUAUCUAGAGAUGUGAAGUUCUUGGAAGAUAGAGGAUACUAUGAAGAAAAGAAUCAAGAAGAUCUGAAGGACUUAACAUCAGACAAGGCUACAACCUUGCGGAUUAUCCUUGAAGGUCUUGGAAUCAGUACAUCUCAGGAUCCGAGAGAUCACGCAACUACACCCCCUGAAGUUGGUUCACCAUCCCACCUUGAUCAUGAGGGAGGAGAGGAGCCUAUGCAAGAGGCUAACCAAGAUGAAGGAGGAGUAGAAGAUGAAGGAGAAGAGAGCAUAGGCUCUGAUGGUCAUGGGCAUGAUCAUGGUGUGAUACAAACACCUUCUCAAGAUGAAGUGGUAGAAGAACAACAGGAAGAAGAACCGGUUGUGCAGCCACUGAGGAGGAGUACAAGGAUAAGGAAGGAUCCUUCUAGCUGGGUAAACACGAGAGUGUACUACAAUGCCCAAGCUGUGGAGCAUCCUUCUUAAGUCGUGUGCUCCUUUGCUCAAUAUCCAGAAGCACAUUGCGCUUUCAUGGUAAACUUGGAUGAGAAUCACAUCCCAAGAAGCUAUGAAGAGGCAAUGAAGGAUAAGGAAUGGAAGGAAUCAGUAGGAGCUGAGGCAGGAGCUAUGAUAAAGAAUGAUACAUGGUAUGAGAGUGAACUACCAAAAGGGAAGAAGGCAGUGUCUAGUAGAUGGAUCUUCACAAUCAAAUACAAGGCUGAUGGGCAGAUUGAGAGGAAGAAGACUAGACUAGUAGCAAGAGGGUUCACUCAGACAUAUGGGGAGGAUUAUAUUGAGCCAUUUGCUGUAAGACCCGAUCCCGGCCGACUAGGCCGCGGUCGAUGACUCACGUCGCUCAGUCCAUACCCGGACCGAACCUCUAAAAAUUUUGCCCUUUAUUUAAAAUAUCGCCCAUUGGCGAGAGCUAACUCAGAUCCUAGCUCAAGACUACCUUAGUCAUUCCCUAGCUAGAUCCUUUCAACUUAUGCACAGCGGAAUAGUAUCUACUUAACCAUUGGUCUAUAACCAAUAUAAUACUUGUCUGGUCGAAUCACCUCGACUAAUGGUUAGUAUACUCAACUACCAGCUAGCUCCAAGGUCAAUCCCGAACCCAAAUCAAGGCAUACAAAUCUGAGGUUCCAUUCCCCUAACCAUUCUAUCUAGAUCUAUGCAACAUUGCUAGAUCAUACCUUUGCCACAUCCACGGAGCUUGUUAGCUCAUCGGCCCAGCUACACUAGCUGAAUGAACUCAUAAACCAGCUGAUCGAGCUGCGAGGUAGCUUUGCCCAGCUCCCCGUCCACUCGUCCAACUCCCUUAUACCUGCAUAAACUCUUCCCUUGGGUACUUAGUCAUUCAGCCAACCAUCCCCACAGACAUAAGUAACCCUUGAGAAGUCUUCAAACAGCUAAGGACAUGCAUCUGGCCCUUACCGGCUCAUGCACUGUCCCACAUCCUUUUUGCCUUAUCAACUUAUGAUACCAAGUCCAGCUCAUGGACUAACAAUGCCCAUCAGAUCCUGAGUCAAUCAACCAACCACCCCACAUGACUCAGAACUGAUGAGUCUUCAUACUUCCUAAUCAGUCAUGGAACCAUGUCCCACUGAACCUGAUUAGUGUUGCUCUUACCACCGGUGCAUCCUUUGAUCAAUCAGAUCAGACACCUUGAUCCAUCAUCCAAGGAUCAGGUCGUCCAUCCUUGCCCAUGAUCAGAUCACACACGGCCUGCCUUACCAACACCAAGGUUGAUAACCAGCAAUUCCUUAUGAUCAAUAUCAUAAGUGACAAUAUGUUCCAGCACACAAACAUAUGAUCAGAUAUCCUAACACAAGGAUCUGACCCCAAUAUGCCCUCAGGUGCAAUUUCGACCGCAAGCAAACCUGCUCCAAAAAUCAAUUAAAAUUCAUGACAAUUCAUGAUAAAUCAUAACUAAGAGAAUGGUCCAAUCAGAUUUCCCAGAACCGGCCUCCAUCCCAUAGAUCUCGGCCAAGAUCAGCCAAACCGGCCCAAGGGACCAUCUCUAAAUCAAUCCCUAAAAACUCAUUAGGAUUCAUGAUAAUUCAUGAUAAAUCUUAACUAAGAGAAUGGUCAAGUCAGAAUUCCAAGAACCGAUCUCGAUCCUAUGGAUCUCGACCUAGAACAGCCCCACCGGCCACCUUGACCAUCUCGAAAUCAAUCAGAUAAAAAUCCCCAAAUACCAUGAUAAUUCAUGAUAAUUCACCACUAAGAGGAUUCCAAAGUCAGAUCGCCAUAAAUCCAUCAGGAAGUAGGAGAUCCGGACUUAGCUGCCAAACCAAGGCCAUGGAGGGUUCUUCUGAACCGGCCAAGCCAUGGUUCAGUGCUACUAUGUCUAAUCAUCAAUCUCAAUCAUAAGAAGAAGAAAUAAUAUGAUUAAUAAUCAUAAAACAGAGUAAGGUGUAACUGCAGGACCAGAUCAGCCCAUAGUGUACCAGACUAUGUCCAAUGGUCUGCAGUCCCCACCUGUUACCUCAUCAGGGGCGUCCAUGCUCCUCCUAGCACGCCUUCAUCAAACCCUUAUCACAUACUUCCAGUAUUGAUAAGAUCUAACCAUGGUUCGUGCCCAUCACUCCUUCCAUGGAACUUCCAUGAAACCAGUUUCUAUACUGCAUCCAUCUUCAAGGCUGUUCAUGCCUUUGAGAGUGGAGUCAAGCCUUCCCCCUUCUCUCCUAACCAAUUGCGUGUGUUCCCAAGACACAGAGGAAGCCUUAGACAUGAUCAUCCAUGAUCAAUCACCAUCCAAAGGUCGUGCAUCACUUCCCUCUUUGUUCCCCAUGAAACUGCUUUCCACACCAAUCUCCCUUUAAGGCUGCAUUGGCCCUUGGGAAUGGAUUCCGGCCAACUCCCUCCUUUCCUCACCAUUUGCGUGUGUUCACAGGCUCCAGAUAAGGCUUUGGGUGUUGUCAACAAUGAUCAAAACCGUUCAGAGGGUCGUUCUCAACUUCCCCCUUGAUCUGCCCCAAAACUGUCUCUUUAUGGCCUUCACACCACCAUGGGUCUUGGAUUGGGAAUCCGACCAACUCUCUGUAUUUUUUUCUCUGGAUUCUUUGUGUUUCAGGGUGUAGAAGGAAGCCCUGGCGUGCCUGCAAAGGCACGGACUUGCCUUCCUUAUAUAAGAGAAGGGGUGGUUACUUCUUAACCAUUGCAUCCCUUCGGUAUCAUUUUCGGCCAUUGAUUUAAUCAAUGGUACAGAUUGCACCCUUUCGCCUAUGGCAGUUACCACACGCCCUGGAACUGCCAAACCACUCCUGGACAUGUCCAAAACUAUCCCACACGGACUGCCCAUGCCCCUGGCUCAAUCCCAAGAGCCCACCAGCCCAUCGGCCUACACGGGUCAUCCACAUGGCCCGACCACUGUCCAGACCCGGCCCAACUGCCCAAGACCUGAAGACUCAGUCCAGCUGAGUUGAGCUGAUCCCCAGCUGAUACAGCUGAGUGAGCUAGACCAUCCAGCUCAGGGAGCUGACCUACACUUCAGUGAGCUACACCGAGCUGCACUACACUUCACCUAGCUGGUUGAGCUUGCUUACUGCAUCGCCCAGCUGUUAUACACUGUGUCCAGCUUGCUUUCUUUAUCUUCUUCAAUCCUUCUAAGUCCUUUAGUCAAUUUCCAGACCUAGACUUAGUUUUCCCAUGAUCCAUUCUGAUCACUCACUUCAUCGAGCUUCACCUGGAUCUCGUCCAGCUACCAGCUCGCUUGUCCAGCUCCUUUGAGCUUGCAUCUGCCUUAUUUUGGUUAGGUUCCAGCUUCCUGAUUCCCUUAACCACGUUUUGGACCAUGACACGCUCGUCCUUAGGUCAUGUGCCUGACUGGUGCGUUUCUUUGCACCGCAGUCCGUCCGGACGAUCCUAUCCAGGAUCGGGGACAUGACAUUUGCCCCGGUAGCCAAGCUACACACCAUUAGGAUAGUUCUAAGCUUGGCUGUUAAUCUUGGAUGGGGAUUGUGGCAAAUGGAUGUGAAGAAUGCAUUAUUACAAGGAGAGCUUGAGGAUGAAGUCUACAUGUAUCCUCCACCUGGUCUAGAACAUCUAGUGAAGGAAGGGAAUGUACUGAGGUUAAAGAAGGCGAUCUAUGGCUUGAAGCAAUCACCAAGAGCUUGCUACAACAAGUUGAGCACAACUCUGAAUGGCCGUUCUAAUAACCCUCACGAGCAGAUAUAAUUUUGGUCGAGAAAAUUCUUUAAGAUCAGUUUGAAGAUUGAUCGAUCAGAAUUUAAAUAAAAAUCGACACUGUAAAUAAAAUUCUUUAAGAUCAGUCUUUUGAUCGAAAAACCAUCUCUUGAUGGCUCUGGUCGAGUGUUAAUUAUUAUUGUCAAUUUUUAUUCAUGCUGGGCGAGUUUAUUCAGAGCAAGACGAGAUUCGAAUGAUGAAAAAUAUUUAGUCAAAACAGUCCGAAAAAUAUCGACAAGACUCUUAAAAUUAUUUCUGAACAGUCACAUGCUUUUCACCUUCAAGCUUACUUGCUUCCUCAGUAAUUAGGUCACAUGACCUGCACCUACUUGCUUGCCUGCUUGCUCAUUAAUUCAGUCACAUGAUUGUCACCAGCUGCUUGCAGCUUUCUUCUUGGGAGGGAAAGGACAACAGCUUGCUGUUGGAAGUGCUGAAGCUGCUCUCCACAUGUCCUUUCUAAGCCUUGCUUUGUGCUGAGUGAAACCCUCACCUGAAGCAACUUCUUAUGUUAUAAAACACCAUCUUCUCUCCUCUGGGCGUUCAUAACCUGCAAGAAAACCCAGAGAAAAAUUCGUGGAAGUACUGGCUGCCAUUUAGAGUUAUGGUAUGCCUUCGUAUCCCAUCCCCAUUCUUUAGUACUUCCAUUAGAGCGGUUUGUUUCUAUCUAGAGUGAGAUUGGCUAUCUAGUUAUCGAGCUCAAUUAGGAUGUUGUUGAGGAAGGAAGUAUUUGAGAGAAGACCAGUUACCGUUGGCCUGCAAUAGUAUACUACUAAGUGUUCGAGUAUCACUCAAAUCAGUCUGGCGUGUUGAAGAACUUUUGGGAAAAGUUGAAGAAGUGUACUCUAGUAACUUGAUCGUUUAAAAAGUAGAAGAUGAAAAGGAGCAGAGUAGAAGACAGUCUGAUAAUCAGGGAAGAUGAAGAUGUGUUUAAGGCAUUGAAAGGAUGGUCGACAUCUAAAAAAGUAACAUGUUCUGUAUUCUUGUUGAACAUGAAUUCACUGCAAUAGCCUAGGGAUUUCACCAAGUGGUUCUUGUCGAGUUCUAGUAGUAGUUAGAAGAUUAUGAGGAGCAUUUCAGAUAGAUCAGAAGUGUAAAGAAUACUGUAAGUGAAAUCAUUCUUGGAAUGGGUUAGUGUGUUUAUUUGAGAGUAGCACCCCUGGUCUGAAUCAUGUUGGCGUGAUUGAUCGUGCAUUUUCUUGUUUGAUUGUUGCACGGUUAAUCAAGUUAACAUUGACCAGACUGGAGAUGUUACAUUCACGUAUGGCACAUCACCUCACGUUCCAAAUUUCAUGUUGCUGUUAUGGGGGAAAGUCAGAUAGAAAAGGUUGAGAAGUGAUAGUCUACAGAUACAAGAUUGUUAGAAAAAGUAUGCAGACCGCAGUUGACAAGAGUUGUGCAGAGUAAAGAAUUUGGUUAUCUUGAAAGAGGCUGCUCAAAAAAGAAAGGAUCGGUUGGGGGAAUCAAGGGAUCGACCAUGAGUUGUUUUGAUAUGGAGAGAAGACCAGUUACCGUUGGCCUGCAAUAGUAUACUACUAAGUGUUCGAGUAUCACUCAAAUCAGUCUGGCGUGUUGAAGAACUUUUGGGAAAAGGUGAAGAAGUGUACUCUAGUAACUUGAUCGUUUAAAAAGUAGAAGAUGAAAAGGAGCAGAGUAGAAGACAGUCUGAUAAUCAGGGAAGAUGAAGAUGUGUUUAAGGCAUUGAAAGGAUGGUCGACAUCUAAAAAAGUAACAUGUUCUGUAUUCUUGUUGAACAUGAAUUCACUGCAAUAGCCUAGGGAUUUCACCAAGUGGUUCUUGUCGAGUUCUAGUAGUAGUUAGAAGAUUAUGAAGAGCAUUUCAGAUAGAUCAGAAGUGUAAAGAAUACUGUAAGUGAAAUCAUUCUUGGAAUGGGUUAGUGUGUUUAUUUGAGAGUAGCACCCCUGGUCUGAAUCAUGUUGGCGUGAUUGAUCGUGCAUGUUCUUGUUUGAUUGUUGCACGGUUAAUCAAGUUAACAUUGACCAGACUGGAGAUGUUACAUUCACGUAUGGCACAUCACCUCACGUUCCAAAUUUCAUGUUGCUGUUAUGGGGGAAAGUCAGAUAGAAAAGGUUGAGAAGUGAUAGUCUACAGAUACAAGAUUGUUAGAAAAAGUAUGCAGACCGCAGUUGACAAGAGUUGUGCAGAGUAAAGAAUUUGGUUAUCUUGAAAGAGGCUGCUCAAAAAAGAAAGGAUCGGUUGGGGGAAUCAAGGGAUCGACCAUGAGUUGUUUUGAUAUGGGAAGAUUAAGAUAAAGUAAGAGCUAAUAUCCAGAACUCCUUUCAGAGACUGUUCAAUAAAGAGUGUACAGUUACGUUUUUAGAAUUCGGGGACGAAUUCUUUUGAGGGGGGAAGAAUGUAAUAACCCUCACGAGCAGAUAUAAUUUUGGUCGAGAAAAUUCUUUAAGAUAAGUUUGAAGAUUGAUCGAUAAGAAUUUAAAUAAAAAUCAACACGGUGUAUUAAUCUCGACGGGGCUGUCUUUUGAUCGAAAAACCAUCUCUUGAUGGCUCUGGUCGAGUGUUAAUUAUUAUUAUCGAUUUUUAUUCAUGCUGGACGAGUUUAUUCAGAGCAGGACGAGAUUCGAAUGAUGAAAAAUAUUUAGUCGAAACAGUCCAAAAAUAUCGACAAGACUCUUAAAAUUAUUUCUGAACAGUCACAUGCUUUUCACCUUCAAGCCUACUUGCUUCCUCAGUAAUUAGGUCACAUGACCUGCACCUACUUGCUUGCCUGCUUGCUCAUUAAUUCAGUCACAUGAUUGUCACCAGCUGCUUGCAGCUUUCUUCUUGGGAGGGAAAGGACAGCAGCUUGCUGUUGGAAGUGCUGAAGCUGCUCUCCACAUGUCCUUUCUCAGCCUUGCUUUGUGCUGAGUGAAACCCUCACCUGAAGCAACUUCUUAUGUUAUAAAACACCAUCUUCUCUCCUCUGGACGUUCAUAACCUGCAAGAAAAACCAGAGAAAAAUUCAGAGAGAAAGAGAGAAAGAAGAGAGAAAAAUUUGUGAGAAAAACUAUUUGAAAAUUUUAGAAAAAAAUUCAGAGAAAAGAAUUGAGCAUGGACAAACCUUUCUCACCAUCCUGUGACUUUAUCCAGUGUGUUUUGGUGUAGUUAAGAGCUGAAGGUUUGGUGUCCAAGAGUGUAGAAUCACCCAUGUUCUUCAGCCUUUGUUUUGAAUCGGUAAGAUGGUUGUGGAUCAGUUUCUGUGAGAAGUUUUGUUAGUUUGCCUACACUGGAGAUAAAUUCUGAAUAAAUCCAACCAUGGAUUCUUGUGGUCUUGAUCAGUUUAAUUCGUGGUUAGCUUGAAGAGAGACAACCAGUCAAGUUUAAUUAGUUGAGUAAAACCGGUAAGCUUCAGCUUCUUGAUUCAACCAUGUUUUGAUGAGAACCAAUUGCUGUAUGUUGGUUAACCUGUCAGGAUCAGUUGUCCAAGGUCUUGUUCUCUUCAGUCUUGGUUGGUUUAUGAUUUAAUCAGUCUCAUAGAACCAGUAGACGAACUGAUAAGAAUUAUGGGAAUUAAAUUCUGGACGUCCUGUUACUGCAAGAAAAACCAGGGAAAAAUUCAGAGAGAAAGAGAGAAAGAAGAGAGAAAAAUCUGUGAGAAAAACUAGUUGAAAAAUUCAGAAAAUAAUUCAGAGAAGAGAAUUGAGCAUGGAUGAACCUUUCUCACUAUCCUGUGACUUUAAUCAGUGUGUUCAGGUGUGGUUAAGAGCUGAAGGUUUGGUGUCCAAAAGUUUAGAAUCACCCAAGUUCUUUAGCCUUUGAUUUUAUCGGUAUGAGAUCAGUUUUACUUGAGCUUCAGUUCUUGUUAGGUAAUCAAAACGUUUUGGUCUGUUUCUGAUCUUGAACCUAUCAUGGGUAUCUUGUCCUGAUCAGGUUAGACGUGUGUUCAGCUUGAAGUUUAUAUCAACCAAGUUCAUCUUAAAGCUUGAGGAAAUCGGUAAGCCAUAGCUACUAGUUCAGAGAAGUUUUGUUUGGAGCAAGUGGACUGAUUUGUUAAGCUUCCUGUCCAGAUUAGUUUUUAAACCUGUGUGUGGAUUGAUCUUGGUUCAGUUAUGUCCCUUAGAUAUUCUUUUAAAGGCUUAGCUGAACUGAAUUAUCCUUCAAACGAACUGAACUGCUUUGAACUAAGUUGAGUAGAGUUUCUGUUGGAAUCAACCUGACUGAUCUUGUAUCCACACAUUCUGAAUCAGGAGUGAAAUGGAGUGUUAUUAGUUGAGCUCGAGUCUAGUCUUCCCUAGCCAAUCUCAUGGAAUCAAAGGUGAGUCUAGAUAGAUGAUGAAUGAAUUAUGAAUGAGUAUGCAUGAUUGCAUAUUGAAUAUGGUUGAUUAAUUAAUAAUUAAUCAUGAAUUAAUUAAGGGAUAAUCAUUGAUUAAUUAAGGAUUAAUCAUGGAUUAAUUAAGGAGUAAUUAUGGUUGAUUGAUUAAGUAUUAUCCCUUGAUCUAUAUUUAUAUAUGAAGUAUUUAUCUAGUUUAAAUACUUAAGAAUUAAUAAGAAUAAUUCUUUGAGGUUAUCCCGAGCCUUAGUACUUGUUCUCAAGUACUAAUCUAUAAGUACUAAUCUUCGAAUAUCUGAUGGAGAUAAUGGUUAUAUUUAUUCCCCGUUAGGCUCGGUUAGCCUUGGUGGUUUUCCGGGUUUAGCAUAUAUAUAUAUUAAGAGUAUGAGUGAUUGGCGGGUAUCGUGGAGGUGAUGUUUAAGAUAGAUUCACAUGGAUGGAUUGAGAGGCCUUAUAAUUAUAUUAAUUAUGGAAUAUAAUUAUUCAAAUGGUGUCGCUUGCUCGGGAUACUAUUGAUAUGUGUUUGGGUGUGGGAUUAGACUCACUGAGUAAACUAGUUACUCAUGACUCAUUUGAUAUGCAGGUAACCAGUAGGUGGGAGACCUUUACUCUAGGACGGGAAGGAACAGCAUUAGCCAGCGGUAGUUUUAUUAUCCUUGCACUCGUUUUGAUAUACUUUAUGUAAAAGGUUUGUUGACCGAAAACCUCGAGGUUAAUCUAUAAGAUUUUGUAAGAUUAUUUUAAAUGAAUAAGUAAAUAGUGUAUAAAAAAUGUUUUUAAAGUACGGGUUCCAAAUGAUAUUAGUCCUUGUCCGGACGAACCAACUAUUGGGUAUUACUCUUAAGGUUGUAAAGCCUCGGGUUGUACCUAAUAGGAUAUGUGUACUUAGGCGGUUGGCCUAAGGUACCUGGAUUUAUUUCGGGAACUUCGGGUUAGUCGUUUAUGUACACAUUGUGGCUUCUCGGUUUGGUUUCAGUUACGAGUGAUCGGCUGUGCAUGUUCUUGUUUGAUUGUUGCACGGCUGGUCGAGUCAACUUAUACUUAGACCAGAUCGGGGCUGUCACAGCCGUGGCUUUAAGAAGUCAGAAUUGGAUCAUACGCUCUUCACCCUCACUACACCCUCAGGUAUGGUUGCUCUCCUUGUGUAUGUGGAUGAUAUCAUUAUCACAGGGAGUGAUAAGGAAGGUAUCAAAGCAACCAAGGAGUUUCUCAAGUCUAUGUUUGAAAUCAAAGACUUGGGAGAAAUGAAAUACUUUCUUGGAAUUGAGAUUUGUAGAUCCAAGGAAGGUUUAUUCAUGUCCCAAAGGAAAUAUACACUUGAUCUUUUGAAAGGUGCAGGUGCUUAUAGAGGCAAGACAGCAAGGAUGGCUACAAAGUACCAAGAGAGGGGGAGAUUGAAGACAGCAAGCCAUUUCAUGAUCCUAAACUCUAUAGAAAACUUGUUGGCAAAUUGAUUUACCUUACCAUCACAAGAUCUGACAUAUGCUUUGCUGUGAAUCAAGUGAGUCAACAUAUGCAGCUUCCCAAGGAACAUCAUUGGCAUAUGGUGGAGAGGCUGCUGAUGUAUCUAAAUGGCUCGCCGGAUCAAGGAGUAUGGAUGGGGUGCAAUGGAAGCACUGAAAUGGUGGGCUAUUGUGAUGCUGAUUGGGCAGGAGAUAGAGCUGACAGAAGAUCAACAACCGGUUAUUGCACAUUCAUUGGAGGCAACUUGGUGACUUGGAAGAGCAAGAAGCAGAAGGUAGUGUCAUGUCCAAGUGCAGAAGCCGAGUAUAGAGCCAUGCUGAAGCUCACCAACGAGUUGGUGUGGAUCAAAGGCAUCUUGAAGCACUUGGAGAUUGAUCAAGCAACUCCAAUGACAAUGCAUUGUGACAAUCAAGCUGCCAUUCACAUUGCAUCGAACUCGGUGUUCCAUGAGAGGACCAAGCACAUUGAAGUUGAUUGCCACAAGGUGAGACAGAUGAUUGUGCUAGGAGUGAUCUUGCCGUGCUAUACAAGAAGUGAAGAUCAGUUAGCGAAUGUGUUCACCAAGGCUGCAAGGCAAAAGACUAUGUAGUCCAUUCACAUCAGAUUGGGACUCAUAGAUCUUGGGAAGAGAAGGAGCUAAUCCCCUUAGCUAUGAGAUCUUUACUCUUUUUCCCUCAUCAAAGUUUUAUCCCAUUGGGUUUUCUUUGGUACGGUUUUUAAUGAGGAAGAUCUCAUGGCUUUCCAAGCUUAGGCUUUCACAAAGCUAAGCUUAAGGGGGAGUGUUGAGUUGAGCUGAGCAUAUGAGUGUGAAGAGAAGAUGAGUUAAGGAGAUGAGGAGAUGAGGAGAUGAGGCUUAGGGGAGUUUAGGGAGAGCAUGGUACGGACGUCCGUACAAGGCCGUACAAGCCGUACAGUCCGUACCAUCCAAGCCUCGACCAAAACUUACCGUGCACUGCCCAAGUGAAAUGGUAAACACGGAAGAAUUACUCAAGAGGAGAAGGAUCAGAACGUUGAGAGGAUAAGGGAAGAGCAUGCCAGGCUGUGACAGGGUGUAAAGAGAGAAAGCAUACGAGUCCUCUCAUCCGUCCGUUCCUAAAGCAACCUUUGACUCCACAUGCUCCAAUAGUGCCCAUUUCAAGUCUUGGAAACCCUUGUGUCUCAUAGGAGUUGGGAUGAAGAAGUUAUCCCACUUUCAAUUCAUCUGACAUAUGCUUUGCUGUGAAUCAAGUGAGUCAACAUAUGCAGCUUCCCAAGGAACAUCAUUGGCACAUGGUGGAGAGGCUGCUGAUGUAUCUAAAUGGCUUGCCGGAUCAAGGAGUAUGGAUGGGGUGCAAUGGAAGCACUGAAGUGGUGGGCUAUUGUGAUGCUGAUUGGGCAGGAGAUAGAGCUGACAGAAGAUCAACAACCAGUUAUUGCACAUUCAUUGGAGGCAACUUGGUGACUUGGAAGAGCAAGAAGCAGAAGGUGGUGUCAUGUUCAAGUGUAAAGUGGUGGAGAAUCACCAGGAAGUUGAAUAAAUCUCAUAGGAGUUGGCAAGAAGAAGUUAUCCCACUUUCAAAUCAGGUGAUUUCAGUUUCCCAGUUUGGGAAUAGCACAGCUUCAUCGUCGUUCCAAUCAAACCAGGAU
This 15025-nucleotide long non-coding RNA is filed under the name Brassica napus (rape). RNAcentral's name for it is "long non-coding RNA (BNAP_LNC008573)". The record is from RNAcentral. Lineage: Eukaryota; Viridiplantae; Streptophyta; Magnoliopsida; Brassicales; Brassicaceae.